UUGAAAUUUUUAAAGUGUAACAAGGUUU
RNAcentral lists this ribosomal RNA (28 nucleotides) under Capsicum annuum. Its description in RNAcentral is "partial 18S ribosomal RNA". The record is from RNAcentral. Lineage: Eukaryota; Viridiplantae; Streptophyta; Magnoliopsida; Solanales; Solanaceae.